UUUAUUUUUUUUUUUUUUUUUGUGUUAACUUGACCUGUCAAGCUAAUUAAUAAAUUGUUUUGGAGGGAUCAACAAUUUCCAUCAUAAAAAUUUGCCAUAUUUUCACAACUUAUGGCACACUCACGACUCAUCAGUUGUUGUCAGGAGGAUAAUUCAGAGCCCCAAAGUGAAGAUCAAUAAAGAGUGGAAAAAAGAAGGGGGAAAAUUGUAAAAAUGUAAGGAUACAUCAGCAGAAUGCAUUUGAUCCGGUCAGUGGCAUCUACCUAUGUCUCCUCAAUUUAUUCAAGCCACUCCUCUCCACAUUCCUUAUCAAGAAAAGGGUAAUGUGUGAGUUACUUGAACUUGAGUUUGUGUCUAAAGCCUAAGCUCUGCUUUAUUUCAAAAAUCUUCAUAGAAUUUCCUAAUGAAUUGAAGAAUCAGAAUACAAUACCACAUCUGAG
This 440-nucleotide unclassified non-coding RNA is filed under the name Hevea brasiliensis (rubber tree). The record is from RNAcentral. Lineage: Eukaryota; Viridiplantae; Streptophyta; Magnoliopsida; Malpighiales; Euphorbiaceae.